This 106-nucleotide small nucleolar RNA is filed under the name Helianthus annuus (common sunflower). RNAcentral's name for it is "Plant small nucleolar RNA R71". It matches the Rfam family "Plant small nucleolar RNA R71". Rfam says of the family: R71 is a member of the C/D box family of snoRNAs containing the C (UGAUGA) and D (CUGA) box motifs. The record is from RNAcentral. Lineage: Eukaryota; Viridiplantae; Streptophyta; Magnoliopsida; Asterales; Asteraceae.
AUUCCAUGGUGAGGGCAAUUUUUGAUCAUCAUAUUGAAACGCUCAAAAGCCUCAUGAAACAUUUCAUCAUGUUGUUGUUGGAAACUCCUCAACCCUUUUCUAGCAU